This 475-nucleotide ribosomal RNA is filed under the name uncultured bacterium. RNAcentral's name for it is "bacterial SSU rRNA". It matches the Rfam family "Archaeal small subunit ribosomal RNA", at positions 724 to 1199 of the family's 1478-position model. The record is from RNAcentral.
ACGGAAUAGAUACCCGGGUAGUCCCAGCCGUAAACGAUGCUCGCUAGGUGUCAGGCAUGGCGCGACCGUGUCUGGUGCCGCAGGGAAGCCGUGAAGCGAGCCACCUGGGAAGUACGGCCGCAAGGCUGAAACUUAAAGGAAUUGGCGGGGAGCACAACAACGGGUGGAGCCUGCGGUUUAAUUGGACUCAACGCCGGACAACUCACCGGGGCGGACAGCAAUAUGUAGGCCAGGCUGAAGACCUUGCCUGAAUCGCUGAGAGGAGGUGCAUGGCCGUCGCCAGUUCGUACUGUGAAGCAUCCUGUUAAGUCAGGCAACGAGCGAGACCCGUGCCCACUGUUACCAGCAUAUUCUCCGGAAUGAUGGGUACUCUGUGGGGACCGCCGAUGUUAAAUCGGAGGAAGGUGCGGGCCACGGUAGGUCAGUAUGCCCCGAAUCUCCCGGGCUACACGCGGGCUACAAUGGAUGGGACAAU